This 1407-nucleotide long non-coding RNA is filed under the name Equus caballus (horse). RNAcentral describes it as "lncRNA (ENSECAG00000043071.2)". Lineage: Eukaryota; Metazoa; Chordata; Mammalia; Perissodactyla; Equidae. The record is from RNAcentral.
GUUGCCUGAGAGUAGAACUGUAUUUGAGAUAUGGAAAUGCCUAUCUUAUAUAUAAAAAGCAUUGUUGUUACCUGGCUGAGCUCCAGUUCCGCUUCCUUGGUGAUUGGGACCAUCCUCCACAUCCUGUGUGGACUGGGGCUCUUCCUCCUGUUCCUUCCCUCCCUCCAGAGGAAUUUGCCCUUACAACCACCUUACAAAAGGAGAAACGUCAGGAAGCGUCAAAUGAAGCUGAGAGGGAGGAGCAGCAGGAGCAGGAAGAAAAAGGGAGCUUUGAAAGCACACAGGGAAGAGGCCAUCUGAGGACACAACCAGAAGGAGGCCCUCUACAAGCCAGGAAGAGAGCCCUCGCCAGAAGUCAACCUGAUGGCACCUUGAUCUUUGACUUCAAGCCUCCAGAACUCUGAGAAAAUACAUUUCUGUUGCUUGAACCACCUGGUCUGUGGUAUUUCAUUAUGGCAGCCCAAGCAGAGUAAUACAGAAGGCCAGGCCCCUAGAUCCUGGAAAAGUCUUGCUCUUUGCUGAGGUGCCUGUUAAAAUUUAACGUAUUCAUGAGCUAAUUCAAGUUCUCCAAGGGCUGACCACCCUGGGGAAAGACACAUCUCAACAAACUCGCUGAUGGUUUGAACAAAAUGCAGUAUAUGCUCCAAGGCUCCAAGGGGAAAGGCACUCCAUGAUCGAAAGAGGAUAGCAUCUCUGUGGUUCAACAUUUCCUUUCCAGAAAACAUCAGCAUUCUGAGAGAAUUUAAUUCUCGUAUCUGUAAACACCUUGGAGGUAUUUUCCUGUACUACUCAGUAAGCUAUGUAUUCCUGUUUUCAUCCUGUAGUGACUUUCAAGUGCUUAGCAUGUUGUCUAGAAGACACUAGGCCCUUGGAUAUUAUUUGUCAACUUCAUGUGAACUUCAGAAGAAAAUACCAAUGACUGCAUUUCUGAAUUUCACUCCUCCUCAAGAAGCAAUAGCAGUAGACAGACAGCCCGGAAGGCAUAGAAGGGUGCUUAGAGAGGAAGAUAGAUCAAAGGAAGAAUUGCUUUUCCAUCACACACUCCACCUGGACAGGCUGCUUUGGUUCCUAGAGCUUGGCAGUGCUUGUGCUUCUAUCAAAGCGCUUGGAACAGAAGCUCUUUCUCUACAGCACCCUUCUGCUCCUAAAAUAUGACCUAAACCUCUCCUCUCAGACCCUUCUGGAAGGUUAUAAAACAAAUUCCAAACAACAAGGACUGGAAGGACAAGCUCGUGAACACUAGUGCAUAUGGGAAUACCGCUCGUUACACCACAUAAUGGACUAGUUUGAUUAGCUACCUGUCUUACUGUAUUGUCUUUAGCUCCCAAACAGAAAAAAGCAAGAAUAAUCCCUUAUACAGAGUUUAUUAUACAUGCUCACAUAUGAUAAAACAUUCAUUUCACUUCA